CAUACCUACAUAAAAUAUUGAAGAUAGGGCUGACAGCAGGAAAUUGAACUCAUAACAGUUUUGGUUAUCAGUGACCUCAUAACAGUUUUAUUUUUCGGUUUAGUUUAAAGAUUAGGCUAUGAUUGGUAAACAUCGCUUAAUUGCAGAAUCAUGAAAAAUAGUUAAGCUGCGAAAAAAUUAAAAAUACGGAAUGGCGGAACACAUAUUAUAUAAAUAAAAAUAUUUAUAUGAUAUUGACUUUAUUAUAAAAAAACAAACACGAAUAAUUAAACUAAUUAUUAAAAAAUGUGAAAAUAACUAAAAUUUAUUAACUAAAAUUUAUUAAAAAAUACUUUACUCUUAAUUAUAAAUAUUUUGUUUAUUUUUAUAUACAUUUUUAAUAAUAAACUGACAUCGUAUAACAUUAUUAAAAAAAUUAUAAUAUAAUUUUAUUUACUACAUAAUUAUUUAUCAUUAAAAUGAUAUUAUCAUGUGAAAGUGUUGAUUUUGUAAGUAAUCAACUAAAGCUCACGUUUCUACUUAAUAAACUUUUUUUUUGUAUUUUUAUCAGCAAAAAAUGUAAAUUUGCGUUUUUUUUAUACCGCAAUUUUUGUUGAUUGGCAAAAUGUGCAAGAUGUGCUUUUCCUCGGUAAUGACGUCAGUGUAACUCCUAUAUGCUCAAAAUUUUCACAAGGAAACUACCGGUGAGAGCAAAAGAGUUAAACCUUUCUUACUGGUGUUGUGAGGGUGUAUAUCUAUAUUUUGUUGGAAUGAAUGGCUUAGGUUGUAGAAUAUUUAGAUGCAGUCAUUAGGAAAGGUGCUGAAGUGAAGUUGGCAGCAAAUUGGAUAAUGAGUGAUAUUGCAGCAAUAUCUAUCAAUGAUGUUAAACUUAGUCCUCAAGAGUUGGCUGAGCUGAUAGCUGCCAUCAAAGAUGGAACCAUUAGCGGAAAGAUUGGAAAACAGCUAUUGGCUAAAGGCGGAACCGUCCAAGGAAUGAUUAAGGGAAAAGACUUGCCUGCAGAUAACCGAUCCUGUGGAGAUGGAGAAAAUGGUUAUGAAGGUGUUCUCCAAAUCUCCAAAGCAGCUUGAGCAGUACCGAAGUGGGAGAACCAAGCUUCAAGGCUUUUUUUACUGGCCAGGUAAUGAAACCGUCAAAAGGCAAAGCAAACCCUGCUUUACUUAACAAGAUUCUCCUGGAGAAGCUCAACACAAAGGAGUAACUGAAGUACAAGCUUCAGGUUUUGGCAGUUGAGAUUAGUGAAAAGUGUUUUCCAAUUACUGUUUUUCUGUAGAGAUUUGUUAAAGUGUACUAAAAAUAAUCGAUUUCGAUAGAUUGUUGUAGUGGCAAUACAACGGAUAUUGAAUUGUUACAGAAAGAUUUUGACUAACAAUGACAAGUUCCUUCAACAA
Molecule: RNA transcript, 1389 nt
Organism: Brassica napus (rape)
Lineage: Eukaryota; Viridiplantae; Streptophyta; Magnoliopsida; Brassicales; Brassicaceae
Exons: 4
Source: RefSeq, a predicted model, not a curated record